GCAGACACAUUCCAGCCAAUCAGCAGCAGACCCUCCCUCCCAGACCCUCCCACCUCCUGGACAGUUCACUAAGAAUGCAGCUUCACAAUGAAUGUAAAAUGGAUGCUGUCCAGGAGGAGGGAGGGUCUGGGAGGGAGGGUCUGCUGCUGAUUGGCUGGAAUGUGUCUG
Pelobates cultripes (western spadefoot toad) is the source of this 168-nucleotide non-coding RNA. The record is from the annotation of a GenBank genome assembly. Lineage: Eukaryota; Metazoa; Chordata; Amphibia; Anura; Pelobatidae.